Molecule: ribosomal RNA, 497 nt
Filed under: uncultured bacterium
Lineage: Bacteria
Description: partial 16S ribosomal RNA
Rfam family: Bacterial small subunit ribosomal RNA
Source: RNAcentral
GAUGAACGCUGGCGGCGUGCCUAAUACAUGCAAGUCGAGCGAACGGACGAGAAGCUUGCUUCUCUGAUGUUAGCGGCGGACGGGUGAGUAACACGUGGAUAACCUACCUAUAAGACUGGGAUAACUUCGGGAAACCGUAGCUAAUACCGGAUAAUAUUUUGAACCGCAUGGUUCAAAAGUGAAAGACGGUCUUGCUGUCACUUAUAGAUGGAUCCGCGCUGCAUUAUCUAGUUGGUAAGGUAACGGCUUACCAAGGCAACGAUGCAUAGCCGACCUGAGAGGGUGAUCGGCCACACUGGAACUGAGACACGGUCCAGACUCCUACGGGAGGCAGCAGUAGGGAAUCUUCCGCAAUGGGCGGAAGCCUGACGGAGCAACGCCGCGUGAGUGAUGAAGGUCUUCGGAUCGUAAAACUCUGUUAUUAGGGAAGAACAUAUGUGUAAGUAACUGUGCACAUCUUGACGGUACCUAAUCAGAAAGCCACGGCUAACUACGUG